UUUUCCUACUCCCUCUCAUUUCCUGUAUUUACACUGCUUUCUCUGUACUUCCUUCUAAAUUUCUUUGCUUACUGUAGCAGCCCUUGCCUUUUCUCUUGCAGCAACAGCCCAGGCUGCUCCAAGGAUUAUUACUGGGCCUGCGCCUGUUCUCCCACCAGCUGCCCUGCGCACCCCGACGCCAGCUGGCCCUACCAUAAUGCCUUUGAUCAGACAAAUACAGACCGCGGUCAUGCCAAAUGGAACUCCUCACCCCACUGCUGCAAUAGUUCCUCCGGGGCCUGAAGCUGGUUUAAUCUACACACCCUACGAAUACCCCUACACGUUGGCACCAGCUACGUCAAUCCUUGAGUACCCUAUUGAACCUAGCGGCGUAUUAGAGUGGAUUGAAAUGCCAGUCAUGCCUGAUAUUUCAGCCCAUUGACUUGCGGACGAAGGACUAGAGCGCAGCAGCUGUUGUAACACGACCAGUCACUGUGGAGCAGGCUGCUUCCAUGCUGCCCUUUGUGUUACAGACAGAAUCUGAAUCCUCUUUCCUUGAAUGGUGUAUGACCUUGGUGCUGCUUGCAUGCUCUUGACUUGUAGGACUUUGAUCUUUUAAGGUGUUUUUUUCCAGCAUUCAUAUUGACUCACAAAAUUUGAAAGCCUUUAAUGAACCCGGACAAAGAUUUAAACUUGAAAAUUCAUUGUUCUAUUAAAGCCACAACAUUGUAUGUUAUCUGUGUGUGUGCAUGCACUCAAGUGCCUUCUGUUUCAUGAGCAGAUACAUUUUAUUGUACAUGUCUUCGGUUAUCUCUAAACAUUGUAUAAAGUAUUCCAGGUCAGAAUUAUACCAUAGAACUGUUUAUGAAAGGCUUGUUUCUGUUGCACAUUUCUUGAAGCAUUUUUAAAAUAACAUGUAACAUAUAACCUG
Myotis brandtii (Brandt's bat) is the source of this 910-nucleotide long non-coding RNA. RefSeq lists it as uncharacterized. The record is from RefSeq and is a predicted model, not a curated record. NCBI's taxonomy places the organism in Eukaryota, Metazoa, Chordata, Mammalia, Chiroptera, Vespertilionidae. The transcript is spliced from 2 exons.